UUAAUUAACAGAAGGAUAAAAUGGUUUGUAGUGAUAAUAAAUUAGUAUAAAUAGUCUUAUCCCACCCAUCAUUUUUUUGUAAACAAGUGUAGCCAAUGUGCUGCAGCAGCUAGCCGCCUAUAUAUAUACAAGUCGAGUUCAUAAACCUUGGUUUAAGCUUUUACAUCAUAGAGACAUAGUUCUGUCGUUGAGAGAGAAAGAGAUGGCUUUAAGCUGGCUUCUUCAUUCUGCAUACACUAUUGUUUUAGGAAACCCAAAAACGCAAGGCGACAAGAGUUUGGGGUACCCUAAUAAAGAUGUAAAAGAAGUUGCCAAAAGUUUAAAAAUUGAACCUGAAUAUCCUUUCCAAAUGCCUCUUCAUUAUCCUCGUUACACCAAGGCCGACUACCAGAAAAUGGAGGAGUGGAGGGUGGACUUGCUUCUGCAGCAAUAUGGCCUCAACUUUGAAGGUAUGCUUGACGAGAAGAGGGCGUAUGCCAUGGGUGCGUUCCUGUGGCCUGAUCAACUUUGAACUGCCUUUCAAAUUCCUGCUUGUACCACAACUUUACGCAGCUUCUGUUUCUCAAGAGCCAUAGUGUGUAUCUGGUUCUGUAUCGUUUCUACCAUUAUACAAGUAGCUAAGCCUAUCGCAAUGAAGCUUCUAUAGCCUUAUGUAUGAGUUGAAUAUAUAUUGCUACGUAGAAAUUAUUGUUCCCUCUAGUUGUAAGUGUUGUUUACCCUUUAAUCAUGCAUUUUCUUGUCUGUAACUCCUAGCAUUGAAAGAAACUUGGACUGUUGGUGCCUAUUUGGCAGAGCGGCAUGCUGAGACAAAGAACUUUUACUAGUAGAGAUGUAAGAAAAAGUGCCCUUAAUGUGAAAGUCCAUAGUGUGUGAUGAUCAAUUUUAAAAAGGAAUAUUGAAGAAAUAUAGCAGUUCACAACAUCAUUGUGCAACAUUAUGUUCCACUAUCCCUUAAGUCCAUACAGUACUUUCGAAUGUACCUGAAACAUUUCGUAGAACAGCAAAGCAAAAUUUGGGUCGGAAAAAUUCAUAUUUGUUGCCAACCUUUCAGUUAUAAUAUUUUCACAACAUUUCUAUUCGGCAAUCCGUAUAUAGAUGACAGCCUUAGCUCCCACAAUUACUUUCAAAUACAUGAUAAACAACACAUAAGUAGCACGAAGCAAUGUAUACACCCUCAGUAACAAAAUUAGAGAUCCAAUUAUAAACGGACGACUUUUAAGAAAAAAAUUAUUUUUAUAAACUAAUCUCACAUUUGCUAGAAAUGUAGUAGUGGUGACAUGAUAGUAUUCAAUCAAGCUAGGAAUAAGUAAUGACAUAUUAGGAAGUUCAUGACUCUUUAUAGUCUAAAUUUAGAAAUGUAUAUCUAAUUUUGGAGCGUAUCUCUAAUUUUGCAACGGAGAGAGUAUUAUUUUAGUUAUUGUUUAAAAAUUUAAACCUUAGGUGCUCAGGUUUAUCAACAUAAAUUAAUUUCAAAUGCCAACUUUAGCAUAAGCAUAUAGGUAAAAGUAAAAUUGAAAUCUCCAAACUCUUCCGGUAUAAGGAAUAACAGUGAUAGUAAAAUACUCUGUGAAUCCAAAAAAGAUCAUCCUUAUUGGAAUUAUGAAAAGAAACGUCUUCUUUAUUUUUUAAUUUUUUUUAAAAUAUUAAGACAGAGGGAGUAUAACAAGAUCUGAAAAGACCAAGGGGAUUCUUAUUUGUACAAAUGGUACUUCGAUGGACGGUAAUUGGAGUCGGCAGCUCUCCUAGGGUUAGAAGAACCACACAAGCGCCCCCAGUGUAUUAACUUUAGUUCUGAUAAGUAUUUUAUUAGUAUGGUUAAAAAGAGCAAGCCAUUUCAAGUUAUUAUGCAUUGCCACUGCGCAAGAAAGAUAACAAUCUUCUAAGCAUGUUAUUCUUUAAAAGAAGCAGCAAAUAUCAGUCACCAGACACUAUUUUAUAAAACGAGAGAAUGGAACCAAAACAUAGUGUUGCAAAAAAAAGGUAAGGGUCCAAUCCAAGUGCACUGCUAAUGAAAGAAAAUCAUCGACAGUUUAAUGCAAAGGGUCCCGCAAUUCAAGAAACAAAAUACACGAUUGAUCAUAAUUCAAUGACAAUUAAUUAAAUGUCAGUUUAUCAUUUUGGCUUAUAUGACAGACACACUGACCUUACCACUAGGUUGUCAAAUAUGUGGUUACAAACUUGCAUCUUUUCUUUGUCAUAAAUCAGACUUCAUAUAUCUUCAUCAUAAAUGAAUUAUCCAACUCUUACCUGCACCAAAAAGAGCUUUUAUGCUGGAGAGACCUAGAAGGUCCACUGGGUGGAUGGUUGAUGAUAAGCCUCGGUGCUUCAGAAAGCCAGUUCAAUUUGC
This 2347-nucleotide long non-coding RNA is filed under the name Panax ginseng (ginseng). RNAcentral describes it as "long non-coding RNA (PGIN_LNC016470)". The record is from RNAcentral. Lineage: Eukaryota; Viridiplantae; Streptophyta; Magnoliopsida; Apiales; Araliaceae.